CUAGGGGUAUGAUUCUCGCUUCGGGUGCGAGAGGUCCCGGGUUCAAAUCCCGGACAGGCCCUAUAAUUUUUAAUAAAAUUUAUUUCAACGUUACAAGUUUAUUUAGUGAGUAACAUUCAUCAACACAAAUUAUUUUAAGGUUGUACGUAGUUCAUACACAUAACAGUUCCAUAUUACUCCACAAAUUUAUAAACUUCAAUCCUACUUUCAUGAGCAACAUUACAUCUUGAUAUUGAUUAAUACUUGACCAGUUUUUGAAUGAGACUAUUAAAGAGCGAGAUAUUAUACAUCAAAUUCUCACUUUAUUCAUUUUGAAAUCGACACAUUGCAGUGAUAUUUAUAAAAAAUUAAUUAUUUAUUAAAUUUUUUUAAUUGUAUAUUUUUACAUAAUUUAAUUUUUGUAAAAAUUAUUAACUUACAUUAAUAAAUCAUCUUAGAGCGUAUCGCGGUGGCCGUGACCUAUUUAGAUUAUGUGUUUUUGGUAUUAAGAGUUUAAAAUUAUUAUUAAAUUUAUUUAAAACUUUUUUUCAUAGGUUUGUUAAACCUAUGUGAUAAUUUUGUUUAUUUAAUCAGGUCAUUUCAUAUCAGUUUAUGUAAAAAUUAUAAUCAGUUAGUUGUUGUUCAGCGACGCUCCCUGUGUGAGGUCUUUGGAAGAUGGUGUUUCGAUCAUUUGAUGCAACAUCAUUAAAUAAUUGAAUAUCACAAUCUGUAAAACACUUUUGAAGAACAUUCAUAAUUUUUAUGACCAAAACAUGAUUAUCAGGAAGUCUAUAAUAUGAACCAUAUUAUAGAUGUCAUUCAUUUCCAGAGAAUGAGGAAAAAUUUGAGGGUAAUGUCUACAAAUGGACAUUCAAAUAGACUAAUUUAUAUUCUUUUGAGGUAUCAUUAUGCAAAAUAUAUUUUGUGAAAAGUAAGAAAAUGUUGUAACAAACAUACACCCAAAAAAUAAUAUAAUAAAUACACACAUUAUAUUAAAAGUAUAGCUGUAGAUUAUAUGAUAAUAUAUUAAUACUGAAAAAUAAAAAUAAAAAUGUUCAA
Molecule: long non-coding RNA, 1038 nt
Organism: Daktulosphaira vitifoliae (grape phylloxera)
Lineage: Eukaryota; Metazoa; Arthropoda; Insecta; Hemiptera; Phylloxeridae
Exons: 3
Source: RefSeq, a predicted model, not a curated record